Molecule: ribosomal RNA, 492 nt
Filed under: uncultured bacterium
Lineage: Bacteria
Description: partial 16S ribosomal RNA
Rfam family: Bacterial small subunit ribosomal RNA
Source: RNAcentral
AGUGAACGCUGGCGGUAGGCCUAACACAUGCAAGUCGAACGGCAGCACAGUAAGAGCUUGCUCUUACGGGUGGCGAGUGGCGGACGGGUGAGGAAUACAUCGGACUCUACUUUUUCGUGGGGGAUAACGUAGGGAAACUUACGCUAAUACCGCAUACGACCUACGGGUGAAAGCAGGGGAUCUUCGGACCUUGCGCGAUUGAAUGAGCCGAUGUCGGAUUAGCUAGUUGGCGGGGUAAAGGCCCACCAAGGCGACGAUCCGUAGCUGGUCUGAGAGGAUGAUCAGCCACACUGGAGCGUGGACACGGUCCAUACGCCUACGAGAGGCAGCAGUGGGGAAUAUUGGACAAUGGGCGCAAGCCUGAUCCAGCCAUACCGCGUGGGUGAAGAAGGCCUUCGGGUUGUAAAGCCCUUUUGUUGGGAAAGAAAAGCAGCAGGUUAAUACGCCGCUGUUCUGACGGUACCCAAAGAAUAAGCACCGGCUAACUUCGUG